Molecule: ribosomal RNA, 200 nt
Filed under: uncultured Gardnerella sp.
Lineage: Bacteria; Bacillati; Actinomycetota; Actinomycetes; Bifidobacteriales; Bifidobacteriaceae
Description: partial 16S ribosomal RNA
Rfam family: Bacterial small subunit ribosomal RNA
Source: RNAcentral
AACGGGUGGUAAUGCUGGAUGCUCCAACUUGACGCAUGUCUUGUUGGGAAAGUGUUUAGUGGCAUGGGAUGGGGUCGCGUCCUAUCAGCUUAUAGGCGGGGUAAUGGCCCACCUAGGCUUCGACGGGUAGCCGGCCUGAGAGGGCGGACGGCCACAUUGGGACUGAGAUACGGCCCAGACUCCUACGGGAGGCAGCAGGC